UACAGAGGGGGCUAGCGUUGUUCGGAAUUACUGGGCGUAAAGGGCGCGUAGGUGGCCUGUUAAGUCGAACGUGAAAUCCCCGGGCUCAACCCGGGAACUGCGUCCGAGACUGGCAGGCUCGAAUCCGGGAGAGGGAUGUGGAAUUCCAGGUGUAGCGGUGAAAUGCGUAGAUAUUGGGAGGAACACCAGUGGCGAAGGCGGCUCACUGGACCGGAACUGACGCUGAGGCGCGAAAGCGUGGGGAGCAAACAGG
This 253-nucleotide ribosomal RNA is filed under the name uncultured bacterium. RNAcentral's name for it is "partial 16S ribosomal RNA". It matches the Rfam family "Bacterial small subunit ribosomal RNA", at positions 524 to 776 of the family's 1533-position model. The record is from RNAcentral.